AGGACGAAUGCUGGCGGCGUGCUUAACACAUGCAAGUCGAGCGGAAAGGCCCUUCGGGGUACUCGAGCGGCGAACGGGUGAGUAACACGUGAGCAACCUGCCCCUAGCUCUGGGAUAGCUCCGGGAAAACCGGGAUUAAUACCAGAUACGACCACUUUAGACAUCUUUUGUGGUGGAAAGGAUUCCGGCUAGGGAUGGGCUCGCGGCCUAUCAGCUUGUUGGUGAGGUAACGGCCCACCAAGGCGACGACGGGUA
Molecule: ribosomal RNA, 255 nt
Filed under: uncultured bacterium
Lineage: Bacteria
Description: partial small subunit ribosomal RNA
Rfam family: Bacterial small subunit ribosomal RNA
Source: RNAcentral